RNAcentral lists this ribosomal RNA (253 nucleotides) under uncultured bacterium. RNAcentral's name for it is "partial 16S ribosomal RNA". It matches the Rfam family "Bacterial small subunit ribosomal RNA", at positions 524 to 776 of the family's 1533-position model. The record is from RNAcentral.
UACGGAGGGGGCUAGCGUUGUUCGGAAUUACUGGGCGUAAAGCGCGCGUAGGCGGACCUGCAAGUCGGGGGUGAAAGCCCGAGGCUCAACCUCGGAACUGCCUUCGAUACUGCGGGUCUCGAGUCCGGGAGAGGUGAGUGGAAUUCCUAGUGUAGAGGUGAAAUGCGUAGAUAUCAGGAGGAACACCGGUGGUGUAGACGGCUCUCUGGACCGUAACUGACGCUGAGACACGAAAGCGUGGGUAGCAAACAGG